Molecule: long non-coding RNA, 801 nt
Filed under: Lupinus angustifolius (narrow-leaved blue lupine)
Lineage: Eukaryota; Viridiplantae; Streptophyta; Magnoliopsida; Fabales; Fabaceae
Description: long non-coding RNA (LANG_LNC001133)
Source: RNAcentral
UCUUUCGGGGUAUAUGGGUCCUUCUAAGCGAGCAUUACUCCUAGGGAUCGAACUUUAGUAUUUGGUCUUGUGCAAUACCAAAGAAUACAAGAGGUCCUUACACCACUAAACUAAAUUCUUGGAUUAUGUUAUAGGUCUAUAAUCUGCUUGAAUGGUAAAAACUGAUAAAUAUGUUAUCCAAUUGAGUAAAUUACACUGACACCCCCUGAGUUUUAGCGAAAUUACACAAACCACCCCUCACUUUUCUAAACUUACACAAACCUCCCCUAGUUUUGUACUUUCAUUACAUUGACCACCCCUGUAUAAGAAAUAAGUGUAAUCUUUUAAACAAAAAAUGUGAUAAAUGCAAUUAAGUUAAACAAAACAUGAUAUAUUGUGUAGACAAGUCUAAAUAAUAUACAAAUCAAUGUAUCUUUAUUAUUUUUUGUUGAUGCAUUUAGUAACAAAAAAAUAAUAAAGAUACAUUGAUUUGUAUAUUAUUUAGACUUGUCUACACAAUAUAUCAUGUUUUGUUUAACUUAAUUGCAUUUAUCACAUUUUUGUUUAAAAAAUUACACUUAUUUAUUAUACAGGGGUGGUCAGUAUAAUGAAAGUAUAAAAGUAGGGGAGGUUUGUGUAAGUUUAAAAAAAUGAGGGGUGGUUUAUGUAAUUUCACUAAAACUCAGGGGGUGUCAGUGUAAUUUACUCUAUCCAAUUUCAUGAAAAAGUUGAAGUCGUAAGAUUUCAUGAAAUUUUGUGCAUUUUAUUUUGCCAGGGCUGCUUUCAAUAGUGUCUGGUGAUCUGUUUUGUAUUUGUGGGGCA